UGGGGGAAUAAAGUCGAACGGAGAUUAGCCCAUAACCGAAGCCCAUCCUUGUAGGUGGAAAGGGCAAUGUGGUGUUUAGGCGUGUACCUGGGGACACUCACCUACUCGAAGUCCAAUUCCGAUUAUGGCUUGGAUACUCCCCACAGCGGGUGAAAGGCCCGUACGGGUAGGUCAUUGCAUUUGUUGUGUCCCUCACUUGUGCAUGCUUUCAAGUCGGAUUGCUGGAGAAUGCACUCCAAAGUGGGUGGUAAACUCCAUCCAAGGCUAAAUACCUGCGUGAGUCCGAUAGUAGACAAGUACCUUGAGGGAAAGUUGAAAAGUACUCUGAAGAGAGGGG
Molecule: ribosomal RNA, 337 nt
Filed under: Monopisthocotylea gen. sp. 1 RRS-2013
Lineage: Eukaryota; Metazoa; Platyhelminthes; Monogenea
Description: eukaryotic LSU rRNA
Rfam family: Eukaryotic large subunit ribosomal RNA
Source: RNAcentral